Molecule: ribosomal RNA, 407 nt
Filed under: uncultured bacterium
Lineage: Bacteria
Description: partial 16S ribosomal RNA
Rfam family: Bacterial small subunit ribosomal RNA
Source: RNAcentral
AUUGAACGCUGGCGGCAGGCCUAACACCUGCAAGUCGAGCGGAUCGGCGGACGGGUGAGUAAUGCCUAUGAAUCUGCCUGUUAGUGGGGGAUAACGUCCGGAAACGGACGCUAAUACCGCAUCCUAUCAGAUGAGCCUAGGUUGGAUUAGCUAGAUGGUGGGGUAAAGGCCUACAAAGGCGACGAUCCGUCACUGGUCUGAGAGGAUGAUCAGUCACACUGGAACUGAGACACGGUCCAGACGCCUACGGGAGGCAGCAGUGGGGAAUAUUGGACAAUGGGCGAAAGCCUGAUCCAGCCAUGCCGCGUGUGUGAAGAAGGUCUUCGGAUUGUAAAGCACUUUAAGUUGGGAGGCGUUACCAACAGAAUAAGCACCGGCUAACUUCGUGCCAGCAGCCGCGGUAAUUC